Molecule: long non-coding RNA, 568 nt
Filed under: Salvia miltiorrhiza (redroot sage)
Lineage: Eukaryota; Viridiplantae; Streptophyta; Magnoliopsida; Lamiales; Lamiaceae
Description: long non-coding RNA (SMIL_LNC006411)
Source: RNAcentral
GUGUAGGCACCUCUUCCACGCCCACCGCGCACAUGCUAUGCAGUAUACACACUCCAGAAGAGGCACGCCACACAGAAUCGACAUUACUGCCUAAUAUCCAACCACAAUAACAGUAAGGAAACAAUAAGGAACAUUGUUCAAUUUUAUUCUAUCAGAUUCAGCAAAUCAUCAUAAGCUACAAGUUAACUUACAACUGCCCCACCCAGUACUAGAAAAAGACAUAAUAAUUGAAGAUGAAGUAAUCGACUUAAUCCAAUUGAAGCAGAAACAUCAAGAGUAACAACCCAAUUAAACUUAUGCAAUUCAAGAAAUCAAGUGACGCGCCAAAAAAAAAAAACUAUGAGUGGCAUUACCUGAUCCUUGACUACUCCGAAUCGAGAAAGAAGAUGAAUGGAACCCAAGUGCCCAAUUUCAUAACUGGUUGAAGAAAGUAAGGAUCUUGGGCAUCAAAGACAGUAUAGGAUUCGACAGUUCCUUGAAUUUUCAGACGGGCGGCUUUUGUCGGGCAUGAAACGAAAAGUGAGCUAUUUAGUCAUCCAUUAGAGCUGUGCAAUGUUUUCUCAAAAAA